CGGGGAUUUGCUUGAGUUAUGAAGGAGGCAUAGUAAGGAGUGGAACCAAUCUCUUGAAGUUGGCGAUUGAUUAGUAGUGCUUUACACUUUAGCGCUGGUAGCUGUAGGUUCAGCCCUCCUUGUUUCCGUGGUCUUGCCAACUGUUGCAUCGGAACGCGUGCUGGAUGUCUGUUCCAUAGUAGUAUCCCCAUAGUGGCAGUUAUUUUUGCUGAAUGCAUAUUGUACAAUGGCAGAAUCGAUGACAGAUACCAUACUUUAGAAGUAACGAAGGUGUUGAGGAGUAUCACCUUCUGAUGAAGAGUGAGCGAGCGCAAAGAAUGUAGCCGUACCUGGUGAGCUAUUUUGCCUAUCAACGUAUUCCAAUUAAGAUUGAUCAUAAUUCGUAGCGAGUUAGCAAAGAUAACGCCCAGAAUUUUGAUACUGUCCUCCGUUCUCAACCAGUCCACUUGAAUCGUAUUUUCAUUCACGAAGCCGACAUUAAUCGACGUCGUUUUAUUCAGAUGUGACGACAACGCUGAUAUCGUCCGCAUAGGCCACUAUCAAGUCGUUAUCGCACACACGCUCAAGCGAAACCAACAGAGGAUGUAGAUACAACACAAAUAAAUGCAUCGAGAUUGGAUCUCCUUGUCUCACAGAUCUUUCGAUGGGAAAAGAUGCCGUCAUGCGUCCGUUUAUCAGCAGGCGAGAAGAAGAUAGUGCUGCGAUUCGUCUAAGCAGUUCUACGAGCUGACUGUUUAUGCCAGCCUGAGGGCAUCCGUAUACUAGCACAUAGGAUUUGACAGCGUCAAACAUGUCCGGGUCGCAAAUGCAAUUUGCGACCACUGUCACUCGCGAGAAAUGCCAAACUCUCAAGCUGGUGUAAAACAAGGCACUUAACAUACUACCAGCUACUAUGUCCACGCAACAAUCAUCAUGUGUCGGUAAUCCCAGUCCCUUACUGCUCACAUUUUCGGUCUGCUGCAUCGGUAAUUGGCACUAUUAAUAACGCAACAAAGGAAGCCUCAUAUCAACAGUCCCGCUGUGAACAGCUCAACUGUGAACAUUCGAACAAUAGCAAUAUUCUUACGCCGAAAAAAGGCGACAUGUGUUGUGCAUCGAUAGAAUAGGAAUUCUCUUGCGCCUAAACGGCAACUGUGUUAUAGAUAAAACAAAUGUUUAUCGAUAGAUAGCGAUACUCUUACGCCUCAAAAUGGUAACAGUGUAAUAUACAACAAAAGUUAUCCUAAGAUAAAAAAUGUACACGAAUGAAU
Long non-coding RNA from Toxorhynchites rutilus septentrionalis, 1250 nucleotides. RefSeq lists it as uncharacterized. The record is from RefSeq and is a predicted model, not a curated record. Lineage: Eukaryota; Metazoa; Arthropoda; Insecta; Diptera; Culicidae. The transcript is spliced from 3 exons.